GACGAACGCUGGCGGCGUGCUUAACACAUGCAAGUCGAACGGAAAGGCCCUGCUUGCCGGGUACUCGAGUGGCGAACGGGUGAGUAACACGUGGGUGAUCUGCCCUGCACUUCGGGAUAAGCCUGGGAAACUGGGUCUAAUACCGGAUAGGAGCCAUUUUUAGUGUGAUGGUUGGAAAGUUUUUUCGGUGUAGGAUGAGCUCGCGGCCUAUCAGCUUGUUGGUGGGGUAAUGGCCUACCAAGGCGGCGACGGGUAGCCGGCCUGAGAGGGUGGACGGCCACAGUGGGACUGAGAUACGGCCCAGACUCCUACGGGAGGCAGCAGUGGGGAAUAUUGCACAAGGGGCGCAAGCCUGAUGCAGCGACGCCGCGUGGGGGAUGACGGCCUUCGGGUUGUAAACUCCUUUCGCUAGGGACGAAGCUUUUUGUGACGGUACCUAGAUAAGAAGCACCGGCUAACUACGUG
This 465-nucleotide ribosomal RNA is filed under the name uncultured bacterium. RNAcentral's name for it is "partial 16S ribosomal RNA". It matches the Rfam family "Bacterial small subunit ribosomal RNA", at positions 28 to 507 of the family's 1533-position model. The record is from RNAcentral.